AACGAACGCUGGCGGCAGGCUUAACACAUGCAAGUCGAACGGAUCCUUCGGGAUUAGUGGCAGACGGGUGAGUAACGCGUGGGAACGUACCCUUUGCUACGGAAUAACUCAGGGAAACUUGAGCUAAUACCGUAUGUGCCCUACGGGGGAAAGAUUUAUCGGCAAAGGAUCGGCCCGCGUUGGAUUAGCUAGUUGGUGGGGUAAUGGCCUACCAAGGCGACGAUCCAUAGCUGGUCUGAGAGGAUGAUCAGCCACACUGGGACUGAGACACGGCCCAGACUCCUACGGGAGGCAGCAGUGGGGAAUAUUGGACAAUGGGCGCAAGCCUGAUCCAGCCAUGCCGCGUGAGUGAUGAAGGUCUUAGGAUUGUAAAGCUCUUUCACCGGUGAAGAUAAUGACGGUAGCCGGAGAAGAAGCCCCAGCUAACUUCGUG
RNAcentral lists this ribosomal RNA (433 nucleotides) under uncultured bacterium. Its description in RNAcentral is "partial 16S ribosomal RNA". It matches the Rfam family "Bacterial small subunit ribosomal RNA", at positions 29 to 507 of the family's 1533-position model. The record is from RNAcentral.